Molecule: ribosomal RNA, 279 nt
Filed under: uncultured bacterium
Lineage: Bacteria
Description: partial 16S ribosomal RNA
Rfam family: Bacterial small subunit ribosomal RNA
Source: RNAcentral
UGCCAGCCGCCGCGGUAAUACGGAGGGUGCAAGCGUUAAUCGGAAUUACUGGGCGUAAAGCGCGCGUAGGCGGUUUAGUGAGUCGGAUGUGAAAGCCCCGGGCUCAACCUGGGAACUGCAUUCGAUACCGGCAAACUAGAGUAUAGAAGAGGCAAGUGGAAUUCCGGGUGUAGCGGUGAAAUGCGUAGAUAUCCGGAGGAACAUCAGUGGCGAAGGCGACUUGCUGGUCUAAUACUGACGCUGAGGUGCGAAAGCGUGGGUAGCAAACAGGAUUAGAUA